RNAcentral lists this small RNA (1003 nucleotides) under uncultured Morchella. Its description in RNAcentral is "eukaryotic LSU rRNA". The stretch from base 720 to 1003 matches the Rfam family "Eukaryotic large subunit ribosomal RNA", at positions 1 to 281 of the family's 3401-position model. The record is from RNAcentral. Lineage: Eukaryota; Fungi; Ascomycota; Pezizomycetes; Pezizales; Morchellaceae.
CUUGGUCAUUUAGAGGAAGUAAAAGUCGUAACAAGGUUUCCGUAGGUGAACCUGCGGAAGGAUCAUUACCAAGAACCAAACAGAAAAGGGCAGCCGAGGGGCCAUCAGGGCUAGUAGCUUUACGUUGUUGAACGUCCUGGUCGGACCCGGAGCCGCCCCCAUCUAAACCCUCUGCGUACCUGUCCCGCCUUGCUUCCCCCGGCCAGCCGCCGGGGGGAGGAACAACAACCAAAACACUUUGUGAGCAAACCGACGUCAGAAUCAUAACAAAACAAAAAAAGUUAAAACUUUCAACAACGGAUCUCUUGGUUCCCACAUCGAUGAAGAACGCAGCGAAAUGCGAUAAGUAAUGUGAAUUGCAGAAUUCAGUGAAUCAUCGAAUCUUUGAACGCACAUUGCGCCCCCUGGUAUUCCGGGGGGCAUGCCUGUUCGAGCGUCAUAAAAACCUCCUCCCCCUUCGGGUUUGAUUACUAUCGUUGGGGGGUUUUGGCCUAAUGGGAUAGCGAUUGGCAAUUAGUUUCCCAAUGUCCUAAAUAGACGUAGACCCGCCUCCAGAUGCGACAGCACCGAGGCCAUCAACCGUGGAGUUAUGGGAUAUAUAGGCUUGCAGUAAAAUGCUCACCUUUCUCCAUACGCCGAUGGCACACCGGUCGCAGUUGCGGGCGUAAAUUGGAGUCCUUUUCAGGACCCUCGUGGCCUAGCAUCCACCAUACACAAUUUGACCUCGGAUCAGGUAGGGAUACCCGCUGAACUUAAGCAUAUCAAUAAGCGGAGGAAAAGAAACCAACAGGGAUUGCCUCAGUAACGGCGAGUGAAGCGGCAAAAGCUCAAAUUUUAAAGCUGGCAUCUUCGGUGUCCGCGUUGUAAUUUUGUGAGGCAUCUCCGGGUAGGGCGCCGGCCUAAGUUCCUUGGAACAGGACGUCACAGAGGGUGAGAAUCCCGUGCUUGGCUGGCUGUCCCCGUCCAUGUGAGGUGUCUUCGACGAGUCGAGUUGUUUGGGAAU